This is a long non-coding RNA of Oncorhynchus tshawytscha (Chinook salmon), 333 nucleotides long. The record is from Ensembl. NCBI's taxonomy places the organism in Eukaryota, Metazoa, Chordata, Actinopteri, Salmoniformes, Salmonidae.
CCCUAGUGUAGACUAAAGAGUAGUCAAAGUGUUUUCCUGUUUUGAUCAUUGAGACAGAGCAGUGAAUAGGUUAAGAAGGAUCUUUCUGUUUGCACAGUUGGUUGUUGGCUCACAUAACAGACCUGAGGUAGAGACAGGCUCCUACAGUAUGUGUGUAUAUAUGUGUGUGUGUAUGUGUGUGUGUGUGUGUGUGUGUGUGUGUUGUGUGUGAGUGUGUGCGCACAGGUGUGUGUGUGUGUUUGUGUGUGUUGUACGUGAGUGUGUGCGCACAGGUGUGUGUGUGUGUGUUUGUGUGUGUUGUACGUGAGUGUGUGCGCACAGGUGUGUGUGUGU